GACGAACGCUGGCGGUGUGCUUAACACAUGCAAGUCGAACGGAAAGGCCCUGCUUUUGUGGGGUGCUCGAGUGGCGAACGGGUGAGUAACACGUGAGUAACCUGCCCUUGACUUUGGGAUAACUUCAGGAAACUGGGGCUAAUACCGGAUAGGAGCUCCUGCUGCAUGGUGGGGGUUGGAAAGUUUCGGCGGUUGGGGAUGGACGCCCGGCUUAUCAGCCUGUUGGUGGGGUAGUGGCUUACCAAGGCAUUGACGGGUAGCCGGCCUGAGAGGGUGACCGGCCACAUUGGGACUGAGAUACGGCCCAGACUCCUACGGGAGGCAGCAGUGGGGAAUAUUGCACAAUGGGCGGAAGCGUGAUGCAGAAACGCCGCGUGCGGGAUGACGGCCUUCGGGUUGUAAACCGCUUUCGCCUGUGACGAAGCGUGAGUGACGGUAAUGGGUAAAGAAGCACCGGCUAACUACGUG
Molecule: ribosomal RNA, 468 nt
Filed under: uncultured bacterium
Lineage: Bacteria
Description: partial 16S ribosomal RNA
Rfam family: Bacterial small subunit ribosomal RNA
Source: RNAcentral